AUCUACGUCCAUGCUACCCUGAACAAGACUGAUCCCAUCUGAUCUCAGAAGCAAAGCAGGUUUGGGCCUGGUUACUAUUUGGAUGGGAGACCACCUAGAAAGACCAGGUGCUGUAGGCA
Molecule: ribosomal RNA, 119 nt
Organism: Pteropus vampyrus (large flying fox)
Lineage: Eukaryota; Metazoa; Chordata; Mammalia; Chiroptera; Pteropodidae
Source: Ensembl